This 73-nucleotide transfer RNA is filed under the name Lecanora saxigena. Its description in RNAcentral is "tRNA-Val". It matches the Rfam family "tRNA". From Rfam's summary of the family: Transfer RNA (tRNA) molecules are approximately 80 nucleotides in length. Their secondary structure includes four short double-helical elements and three loops (D, anti-codon, and T loops). Further hydrogen bonds mediate the characteristic L-shaped molecular structure. tRNAs have two regions of fundamental functional importance: the anti-codon, which is responsible for specific mRNA codon recognition, and the 3' end, to which the tRNAs corresponding amino acid is attached (by aminoacyl-tRNA synthetases). tRNAs cope with the degeneracy of the genetic code in two manners: having more than one tRNA (with a specific anti-codon) for a particular amino acid; and 'wobble' base-pairing, i.e. permitting non-standard base-pairing at the 3rd anti-codon position. Lineage: Eukaryota; Fungi; Ascomycota; Lecanoromycetes; Lecanorales; Lecanoraceae. The record is from RNAcentral.
AAGGAAUUAGCUCAACGGUAGAGCGAUCGUUUUACACACGAUAGGUUAGGUGUUCGAAUCGCCUAUUCCUUAC